RNAcentral lists this ribosomal RNA (253 nucleotides) under uncultured bacterium. RNAcentral's name for it is "partial 16S ribosomal RNA". It matches the Rfam family "Bacterial small subunit ribosomal RNA", at positions 524 to 776 of the family's 1533-position model. The record is from RNAcentral.
UACGUAGGCAGCAAGCGUUGUUCGGAGUUACUGGGCGUAAAGAGUGCGUAGGUGGUGCCCUAAGUCUGUUGUGAAAUCUCCCGGCUUAGCUGGGAGGGUGCGGUGGAAACUGGGGUGCUUGAGUGUGGGAGAGGUAAGCGGAAUUCCUGGUGUAGCGGUGAAAUGCGUAGAUAUCAGGAGGAACACCGGUGGCGAAGGCGGGUCUCUGGGCCGAUAUUGACGCUGAGGAGCGAAAGCGUGGGGAGCGAACAGG